RNAcentral lists this unclassified non-coding RNA (1018 nucleotides) under Hevea brasiliensis (rubber tree). The record is from RNAcentral. Lineage: Eukaryota; Viridiplantae; Streptophyta; Magnoliopsida; Malpighiales; Euphorbiaceae.
GUAGAGUAAGAAAAGCUUGGGAAUGUAAAUGACUUACCAGCAAGGGAAAAUUCUGGAAGAGAGCAACUGCAUCCAUCUGCCCAUCAAGGAAAAAAAAUUCUGAAAAUUUUUAAUCAGCUGCUCUUGGGGAAAGAGCUCUGUAAGAGAGCCGUGGAGUGGCUCAAUGACUUGCACAUUGACCGAGGCAUCCUUCUUUUGGAUGGUUUUCUGGUUCAUUGCAGAGAAGGUUGUCACUGAUUUGCUUUUUGAGAUGAUGGUGGUGGAAUAGCGGUGGAUGGCUGUCAUUUUGGUGAAAAUUGUUGGGUUAGGGUUUAUGAUAAAUGUUACUUCAAUGGAGGGAACCAGUGGUUGUCUCUGUGUUUGUGGUGGUGGAAGGUAUAAAGGGUGUCGGCUAGCUAUUUCUGGGCUUGCAUUUUUUAUGGGACAAGCAUUGGUUGAAGGAGCUUUUGUAUCGGUGUCAAUGGCAGAGAUAGUCGAUUGCUUUGGUUGGGACUGAGUCUGUAGAUGUGUUAGUGUAUGGUUGUGGUAUGAGGGAUUGAGAGAAUAUGAGUUCUCAUAGUAAGGAAAAUUGAUGGUUUUGGCCUUCAACCACAGCCCAACGCCCGAUUUGCCUUGAAAUUUCUUUGAUGCCAAGCUUUGAGUUUCAGUUAAGGAGUACUGUAUGCUAAUAUGACCCAUCAUCCUACAUAUUAGUUCUUCAAAAGAGAGAUCAAGGGGCUACUUUCAAAUUGAAAAAUAUGGUUAUAGAUAGGCCAUGGUCGGUUCUCCAAAACAAAAACCAUCUCAAUCUCAGGCAGAAGAUUAAAGGGAAACCUGUUGCCUUUCGUUGUAACAACUUAGAGACCUCAGUGUAUGCUCCAUGACUUCUCUGGUACAGCUUUGAAUGUUGUAGCACUAAAAGUUUUUUUGGGAAUUAAUUUUCCAACCAGUAGCUUUUGAAUGUUGUCAUGGUAGUUAAUGGUUCGUGCCAUUUUAAUGAUAUCCGAAAUAUUCCCAUCCUCCACAUCAAACAUGGUAG